Molecule: ribosomal RNA, 1409 nt
Filed under: Staphylococcus aureus
Lineage: Bacteria; Bacillati; Bacillota; Bacilli; Caryophanales; Staphylococcaceae
Description: partial 23S ribosomal RNA
Rfam family: Bacterial large subunit ribosomal RNA
Source: RNAcentral
UACAUAGCAUAUCAGAAGGCACACCCGGAGAACUGAAACAUCUUAGUACCCGGAGGAAGAGAAAGAAAAUUCGAUUCCCUUAGUAGCGGCGAGCGAAACGGGAAGAGCCCAAACCAAAAAGCUUGCUUGUUGGGGUUGUAGGACACUCUAUACGGAGUUACAAAGGACGACAUUAGACGAAUCAUCUGGAAAGAUGAAUCAAAGAAGGUAAUAAUCCUGUAGUCGAAAAUGUUGUCUCUCUUGAGUGGAUCCUGAGUACGACGGAGCACGUGAAAUUCCGUCGGAAUCUGGGAGGACCAUCUCCUAAGGCUAAAUACUCUCUAGUGACCGAUAGUGAACCAGUACCGUGAGGGAAAGGUGAAAAGCACCCCGGAAGGGGAGUGAAAUAGAACCUGAAACCGUGUGCUUACAAGUAGUCAGAGCCCGUUAAUGGGUGAUGGCGUGCCUUUUGUAGAAUGAACCGGCGAGUUACGAUUUGAUGCAAGGUUAAGCAGUAAAUGUGGAGCCGUAGCGAAAGCGAGUCUGAAUAGGGCGUUUAGUAUUUGGUCGUAGACCCGAAACCAGGUGAUCUACCCUUGGUCAGGUUGAAGUUCAGGUAACACUGAAUGGAGGACCGAACCGACUUACGUUGAAAAGUGAGCGGAUGAACUGAGGGUAGCGGAGAAAUUCCAAUCGAACCUGGAGAUAGCUGGUUCUCUCCGAAAUAGCUUUAGGGCUAGCCUCAAGUGAUGAUUAUUGGAGGUAGAGCACUGUUUGGACGAGGGGCCCCUCUCGGGUUACCGAAUUCAGACAAACUCCGAAUGCCAAUUAAUUUAACUUGGGAGUCAGAACAUGGGUGAUAAGGUCCGUGUUCGAAAGGGAAACAGCCCAGACCACCAGCUAAGGUCCCAAAAUAUAUGUUAAGUGGAAAAGGAUGUGGCGUUGCCCAGACAACUAGGAUGUUGGCUUAGAAGCAGCCAUCAUUUAAAGAGUGCGUAAUAGCUCACUAGUCGAGUGACACUGCGCCGAAAAUGUACCGGGGCUAAACAUAUUACCGAAGCUGUGGAUUGUCCUUUGGACAAUGGUAGGAGAGCGUUCUAAGGGCGUUGAAGCAUGAUCGUAAGGACAUGUGGAGCGCUUAGAAGUGAGAAUGCCGGUGUGAGUAGCGAAAGACGGGUGAGAAUCCCGUCCACCGAUUGACUAAGGUUUCCAGAGGAAGGCUCGUCCGCUCUGGGUUAGUCGGGUCCUAAGCUGAGGCCGACAGGCGUAGGCGAUGGAUAACAGGUUGAUAUUCCUGUACCACCUAUAAUCGUUUUAAUCGAUGGGGGGACGCAGUAGGAUAGGCGAAGCGUGCGAUUGGAUUGCACGUCUAAGCAGUAAGGCUGAGUAUUAGGCAAAUCCGGUACUCGUUAAGGUUGAGCUGUGAUGGG